GACGUAGGGGGCUAGCGUUGUCCGGAAUUACUGGGCGUAAAGGGCACGUAGGCGGGAAUUUAAGUCAGGUGUGAAAGACCGCAGCUCAACUGCGGGGUUGCACUUGAAACUGGAUUUCUUGAGGGCAGGAGAGGAAAGUGGAAUUCCUGGUGUAGCGGUGAAAUGCGUAGAAAUCAGGAGGAACACCGGUGGCGAAGGCGACUUUCUGGACUGACCCUGACGCUGAGGUGCGAAAGCGUGGGUAGCAAACAGG
This 253-nucleotide ribosomal RNA is filed under the name uncultured bacterium. Its description in RNAcentral is "partial 16S ribosomal RNA". It matches the Rfam family "Bacterial small subunit ribosomal RNA", at positions 524 to 776 of the family's 1533-position model. The record is from RNAcentral.